This 482-nucleotide ribosomal RNA is filed under the name uncultured bacterium. Its description in RNAcentral is "partial 16S ribosomal RNA". It matches the Rfam family "Bacterial small subunit ribosomal RNA", at positions 30 to 507 of the family's 1533-position model. The record is from RNAcentral.
AUUGAACGCUGGCGGCAUGCCUUACACAUGCAAGUCGAACGGUAACAGGGCUUCGGAUGCUGACGAGUGGCGCACGGGGGAGUAAUACAUCGGAACGUGCGCAGACGUGGGGGAUAACGAGGCGAAAGCUUUGCUAAUACCGCAUACGAUCUAAGAAUGAAAGAAGGGGACCGCAAGGGCCUUUGCGUUUUGAGCGGCCGAUGGCAGAUUAGGUAGUUGGUGGGAGAAAAGCUUACCAAGCCGACGAUCUGUAGCUGGUCUGAGAGGACGACCAGCCACACUGGGACUGAGACACGGCCCAGACUCCUACGGGAGGCAGCAGUGGGGAAUUUUGGACAAUGGGCGAAAGCCUGAUCCAGCAAUGCCGCGUGCAGGAUGAAGGCCUUCGGGUUGUAAACUGCUUUUGUACGGAAAGAAAAGGCUCUGGCUAAUACCUCGGGCACAUGACGGUACCGUAAGAAUAAGCACCGGCUAACUACGUG